This 548-nucleotide ribosomal RNA is filed under the name uncultured bacterium. RNAcentral's name for it is "bacterial SSU rRNA". It matches the Rfam family "Bacterial small subunit ribosomal RNA", at positions 355 to 896 of the family's 1533-position model. The record is from RNAcentral.
UGGGGAAUUUUGGACAAUGGGCGCAAGCCUGAUCCAGCAAUNCCGCGUGCAGGAUGAAGGCCUUCGGGUUGUAAACUGCUUUUGUACAGAACGAAAAGUCUUGGGUUAAUACCCUGGGACCAUGACGGUACUGCAAGAAUAAGCACCGGCUAACUACGUGCCAGCAGCCGCGGUAAUACGUAGGGUGCAAGCGUUAAUCGGAAUUACUGGGCGUAAAGCGUGCGCAGGCGGUUAUGUAAGACAGAGGUGAAAUCCCCGGGCUCAACCUGGGAACGGCCUUUGUGACUGCAUAGCUAGAGUACGGUAGAGGGGGAUGGAAUUCCGCGUGUAGCAGUGAAAUGCGUAGAUAUGCGGAGGAACACCGAUGGCGAAGGCAAUCCCCUGGACCUGUACUGACGCUCAUGCACGAAAGCGUGGGGAGCAAACAGGAUUAGAUACCCUGGUAGUCCACGCCCUAAACGAUGUCAACUGGUUGUUGGGUCUUAACUGACUCAGUAACGAAGCUAACGCGUGAAGUUGANNGCCUGGGGAGUACGGCCGCAAGGUUG